ACGAACGUUGGCGGCGUGGAUUAGGCAUGCAAGUCGCACGAAUCCCAGGAAGCUUGCUUUUUGGGGGAAGUGGCGAAAGGGGCAGUAAGGCGUGGGUAACCUACCCCAGGGACCGGGAUAGCCGUCCUAACGGACGGGUAAUACCGGGAGAAGUCGUUUUGAUACCUGUCGAGACGACCAAAGGGUCUGCCGCCCUGGGAGGGGCUCAUGUGGUAUUAGCUUGUUGGUGAGGUAACGGCUCACCAAGGCCAAGAUGCCUAGCAGGUGUGAGAGCACGACCUGCGCCACUGGCACUGAGACACUGGCCAGACUCCUACGGGAGGCUGCAGUCGAGGAUCUUCGGCAAUGGGCGCAAGCCUGACCGAGCGACGCCGCGUGCGCGAUGAAGGCCUUCGGGUUGUAAAGCGCUGUCGAGGGGGAGUAAGGCCGCAAGGCUUGAACUACCUCUGGAGGAAGCACGGGCUAAGUUCGU
Molecule: ribosomal RNA, 472 nt
Filed under: uncultured bacterium
Lineage: Bacteria
Description: partial 16S ribosomal RNA
Rfam family: Bacterial small subunit ribosomal RNA
Source: RNAcentral